CUUUCUUUGCUGGCGACCGGCGCACGGGUGAGUAACGCGUAUCCAACCUGCCCUUUACUCGGGGAUAGCCUUUCGAAAGAAAGAUUAAUACCCGAUAGUAUAAUGAUUCCGCAUGGUUUCAUUAUUAAAGGAUUCCGGUAAAGGAUAGGGAUGCGUUCCAUUAGGUUGUUGGUGAGGUAACGGCUCACCAAGCCUUCGAUGGAUAGGGGUUCUGAGAGGAAGGUCCCCCACAUUGGAACUGAGACACGGUCCAA
Molecule: ribosomal RNA, 254 nt
Filed under: uncultured bacterium
Lineage: Bacteria
Description: partial 16S ribosomal RNA
Rfam family: Bacterial small subunit ribosomal RNA
Source: RNAcentral